This 253-nucleotide ribosomal RNA is filed under the name uncultured bacterium. Its description in RNAcentral is "partial 16S ribosomal RNA". It matches the Rfam family "Bacterial small subunit ribosomal RNA", at positions 524 to 776 of the family's 1533-position model. The record is from RNAcentral.
UACGUAGGGGCAAGCGUUGUCCGGAUUUAUUGGGCGUAAAGAGCGUGUAGGCGGCCAAGCAGGUCCGCUGUGAAACUCGAGGCUCAACCUCGAGACGUCGGUGGAAACCAUCUGGCUAGAGUCCGGGAGAGGAGAGUGGAAUUCCGUGGUGUAGCGGUGAAAUGCGCAGAUAUCAGGAAGAACACCCGUGGCGAAAGCGGCUCUCUGGAACGGUACUGGACGCUGAGACGCGAAAGCGUGGGGAGCGAACAGG